Molecule: long non-coding RNA, 574 nt
Organism: Oncorhynchus keta (chum salmon)
Lineage: Eukaryota; Metazoa; Chordata; Actinopteri; Salmoniformes; Salmonidae
Exons: 4
Source: RefSeq, a predicted model, not a curated record
GUGCAGCUGCAGCGUUUUCGCUUACACAUAAAACUGUAAACACCAAAUAUGUAGGGGCUAGGACCUAGAGGUAGGGUGCAGGUUGGGCCUAGAGGUAGGGUGUAGUUUGGGCCUAGAGGUAGGGUGCAGGUAGUGGAUAGAGGUAGGGUGCAGGUAGUGGAUAGAGGUAGGGUGCAGGUUGGGCCUAGAGGUAGGGUGCAGGUAGAGCUUAGAGGUAGGGUGCAGGUAGUGGAUAGAGGUAGGGUGCAGGUAGAGCUUAGAGGUAGGGUGCAGGUAGGGCCUAGAGGUAGGGUGCAGGUAGGGCCUAGAGGUAGGGUGCAGGUAGAGCUUAGAGGUAGGGUGCAGGUAGGGCCUAGAGGUAGGGUGCAGGUAGGGCCUAGAGGUAGGGUGCAGGUAGUGGAUAGAGGUAGGGUGCAGGUAGGGCCUAGAGGUAGGGUGCAGGUAGUGGAUAGAGGUAGGGUGCAGGUUGGGCCUAGAGGUAGGGUGCAGGUAGAGCUUAGAGGUAGGGUGCAGGUAGUGGAUAGAGGUAGGGUGCAGGUUGGGCCUAGAGGUAGGGUGCAGGUAGAGCUUAGAG